AGAAUGAUAAGGGCUAUAUAAUGACUUGCUGUUGUACUUCAGAUUGGAACUUUGCCUCCUUCUCCCAUAUGGGCGAUCUCUCUGUCACCUCUAUAAGUGUUGUUUUUUGUCUAGUGCUUCUUCGUCAUCUUUUCUAUAAGUCUCUCUUUAAUAAUGUUGGCUUUAAUCUUGUACUGCUCCACUUCUGUGCAGUUUCUUCUUAGUCAUCUAAACACAAUGUGGGGAAUGUUUCUGAUUCAUGGUUGAUAGUGGCCACUCUUUUAAAAUUAAGCUAUUGACAUUUACAUUUUUUAAAUGGUUUUCGUCUUGAUCAUUUCUUCUUCUACAUAUGUGUUAAGCUCAAGGAACUCAACCACUGUGUUAUUAUAAGUAGUGUUAAGGUAUACUCACUCACACACUUUUAAAUUUAAUUCCAGACAUUAUAACCAGUUCAAUGAGAUGAGGUAGGUACAGUGCCUACAGUGUCCCUUUAAGGAUUCACUCUCUAAGCUCCAUAUGCUAUCAUUAUUGCAAAGCAUAUGGUGCAAAGUGCAUCGAUAGAGUAUUGGGUGAUUUUGCUGUUUUUCCUCAAUGAUCUCUGUAUGCUUAUUUUUUCAUAUUACUGAAUAAUGUUUUCAUCAUUAUGGUUCCAAUCCCAGCAGGGUUGACUCAACCCUUCAUCCUUCCGAGGUAGAUAAAAUGAGUACCAUUAAACUGUGUAAUAGUAACAACCCCUGGAUGUUGGGCUAAGGUAACAUCCCCAGCACGUACUUAAAAACCAUAGUAAUCUGAAUGUACCUUUCCUACUUAAAUACUUUGUUAUUGUUAUUAUUUUUAUAGUUCAGAAACUUUUUUCAUGAAAACACAUCUGUGUGACCAGGGUAUCAUUCGUGGGAACGUUUUCAUUUUGGUUAAAUUGGAAGCUCUGCCGUAAAAAGAUGUUGCAGAUGAAAUAAUUAAAAUGAAUAUGUGGGAUUAUGUAUUUUUCCUCAUAAAAAUUCUCAUAUUUGCUAAAGUCGGCAUUGGUAAGAAUUCAGUUAACCUGACCAAAUCUGGGAGCAUUUGAUGUCUACUUUAAAUUCAUUGCUUUUUGCAUGUGAAUCCUAUCAAAACUAUAGGAUUCGGUUAAUUACAUAGCAUCGGUGUGUAAAUAGAGAAAAUAUGGACCAAAUUCAAAACCCCCAUUAUUGCUAUAGGGAGAUUUAAAACCUACAUUAUGUCCCCGCCUGCUAUGUUGCUGGUGGGGGCAUGUCUUUUAAAGCAUUCAGCAGCUGGUCACUUUUAAUCAUAAUGGUGACUGUCCUAAUAUUGCUGACAAGUCACUAGAAAGGAUCGAUCACAUGGGGAAGGGGUCAGUAGGGGUGAGGAACCUGGCAUUGGACCUCUGGUGAUGGUUUAAUUUCAAUGAUGAUAAUCUGUCUAGCCCCUACCUCCACCAGUGGCCAGAGGGUGGGAACUCUAAGAUAAUGCGUGGGAGGACAUGGUAGUAUGUAUACUACAGCCCCUGAGUGAAUUUUUUAGUAGUUAGUAGAAUUAUCAGAUCAUAUUAGAAGCCAGAUGUUUAUGGAAGAGUGUUUAUGUAUAUAUGGGUUUAUGUAGAAAUGUGGUAUGAAGCCUGAAACAUGAUGCCUCAUCAAAGUCCAACUUGAGAUAUGCUUAUGAUACAUAUCAGUAAUAUAUAUUCUCAAAUAAACAUUUGUGCUGUUCUUG
Non-coding RNA from Pelobates cultripes (western spadefoot toad), 1689 nucleotides. The record is from the annotation of a GenBank genome assembly. NCBI's taxonomy places the organism in Eukaryota, Metazoa, Chordata, Amphibia, Anura, Pelobatidae.